AAUAAAUAAAUAAAAGAAAAAUCUUGGACUUGGACCUCUCUCAUUUGAGCCCACAGGUCCACAAAAAUCAGGUUAUAAAUUCAGAGUUUCAGUGAAACAAAUAUUCAUUCAUUACCCUAUCUGGGAAAAAGAUAGUGAGAGAAGAACCCUGGGGAAAAAGAAAGUGAGAGAAGAGCUAACAGAGUUCAGAGCAAUCUCCAGAGACUGAAGGGAACUCAUCAGCAAAGAACCAAUUC
RNAcentral lists this long non-coding RNA (236 nucleotides) under Lathyrus oleraceus (garden pea). RNAcentral's name for it is "Pisum sativum (pea) long non-coding RNA (PSAT_LNC039612)". Lineage: Eukaryota; Viridiplantae; Streptophyta; Magnoliopsida; Fabales; Fabaceae. The record is from RNAcentral.